GCUGAGCGUGGUGGCGCACGCCUGUAAUCCCAGCUACUAGGGAGGCUGAGACAGGAGAAUCGCUUGAGCCUGGGAGGCAGAGGUUGCAGUGAGCCGAGAUCACGCCACUGCACUCCAGCCUGGGCGACAGAGCAAGACUCUGUCUCAA
RNAcentral lists this non-coding RNA (148 nucleotides) under Nomascus leucogenys (northern white-cheeked gibbon). The record is from Rfam by way of RNAcentral. Lineage: Eukaryota; Metazoa; Chordata; Mammalia; Primates; Hylobatidae.